GAACUGGAUGACGGUUGAACAAAUAAUUAUUAUUUUAAAUAAUUUAUUUAAAUUUAUAUUCUAUGUAAAAAUACAUAGAUACAUAAAGGGACGAUAAGACCCUAGAAGCUUUAUUGGUAUAUUCUUAUUAUUGUUAAUAGUAUUAGAUAUAAGUUUUUUGGCUGGGGUAGUUGUUUUUGUAACAAAUAUUUUUAUUUACAUAUAGGAUGAAAGGUCCUUUAUAUAAGGGAAAAUAGUAAAAGUUACUUUAGGGAUAACAGCAUAAUAAUUAUGAAAAGAUCGUAUUUAUAUAAUUGAUUGUGACCUCGAUGUUGAAUUAAAAUUAUCUUUAUGGAGCAGAAAUUAUAUAAGAGAGUUUGUUCAACUUUUAAAUUUUUACAUGAUUUGAGUUCAAAUCGGUUUGAGCCAGGUUGGUUUUCUAUCUAA
Molecule: ribosomal RNA, 426 nt
Filed under: Talitroides topitotum
Lineage: Eukaryota; Metazoa; Arthropoda; Malacostraca; Amphipoda; Talitridae
Description: partial large subunit ribosomal RNA
Rfam family: Bacterial large subunit ribosomal RNA (bases 253-412)
Source: RNAcentral